CGGGGCGUAGGUCAUCGGUAGACCGCUCGGAUGGGGUCCGAGAAGCAGGAGGUUCAAUUCCUCUCGCCCCGACAA
Molecule: transfer RNA, 75 nt
Filed under: Candidatus Levybacteria bacterium RIFCSPHIGHO2_01_FULL_40_15b
Lineage: Bacteria; Candidatus Levyibacteriota
Description: tRNA-Pro
Rfam family: tRNA
About the family: Transfer RNA (tRNA) molecules are approximately 80 nucleotides in length. Their secondary structure includes four short double-helical elements and three loops (D, anti-codon, and T loops).
Source: RNAcentral